RNAcentral lists this ribosomal RNA (427 nucleotides) under uncultured Gammaproteobacteria bacterium. Its description in RNAcentral is "bacterial SSU rRNA". It matches the Rfam family "Bacterial small subunit ribosomal RNA", at positions 958 to 1385 of the family's 1533-position model. Lineage: Bacteria; Pseudomonadati; Pseudomonadota; Gammaproteobacteria. The record is from RNAcentral.
AACGCGAAGAACCUUACCUACCCUUGACAUCCUGCGAAUCCUGUAGAGAUACGGGAGUGCCGCAAGGAACGCAGAGACAGGUGCUGCAUGGCUGUCGUCAGCUCGUGUUGUGAGAUGUUGGGUUAAGUCCCGUAACGAGCGCAACCCUUGUCCUUAGUUGCCAUCAUUUAGUUGGGGACUCUAAGGAGACUGCCGGUGAAGAACCGGAGGAAGGCGGGGACGACGUCAAGUCAUCAUGGCCUUUAUGGGUAGGGCUACACACGUGCUACAAUGGGGCGUACAGAGGGUAGCGAACCUGCGAAGGGGAGCCAAUCUCAGAAAGCGCCUCGUAGUCCAGAUUGGAGUCUGCAACUCGACUCCAUGAAGUUGGAAUCGCUAGUAAUCGCGAAUCAGCCACGUCGCGGUGAAUACGUUCCCGGGCCUUGUA